UCGAGAAUCUUCGGCAAUGGUCGCAAGACUGACCGAGCGACGCCGCGUGCGGGAUGAAGGCCUUCGGGUUGUAAACCGCUGUCAGAGGGGAGUAAGUGAAGGGGGUCAUCCCCUGGAAUUGAACUAUCCUCAGAGGAAGGACGGGCUAAGUUCGUGCCAGCAGCCGCGGUAAGACGAACCGUCCAAACGUUAUUCGGAAUCACUGGGCUUAAAGGGUGCGUAGGCGGCCCGGCAAGUUGGGUGUGAAAGCCCACGGCUCAACCGUGGAACUGCGCACAAAACUGCCAGGCUUGAGGGAGAUAGAGGUGAGCGGAACUUAUGGUGGAGCGGUGAAAUGCGUUGAUAUCAUAAGGAACGCCAGUGGCGAAAGCGGCUCACUGGGUCUCUUCUGACGCUGAGGCACGAAAGCUAGGGUAGCGAACGGGAUUAGAUACCCCCGUAGUCC
This 445-nucleotide ribosomal RNA is filed under the name uncultured prokaryote. RNAcentral describes it as "bacterial SSU rRNA". It matches the Rfam family "Bacterial small subunit ribosomal RNA", at positions 355 to 796 of the family's 1533-position model. The record is from RNAcentral.